UUUUUUUAAUGGCAAAUGAUUGAACUGAAAAAAGAAAGUCAGAUGACAAGGCCCUCAAUCAUUGCAUUUAUUGCAAGAGAAAUAAUUUUACACAUUUCCUACAUAAAUUUCUGAAUCUUAACCGAUGAAUUGAUUUCAUUAAUGCACUACUUCCCUCGAGCUAUAUAAGUUCUCAUCUCUAGAUCAACUGCUUCAUCAAACGAUCAACAAUCUCAAACAAUUUUCUAACCCUCCUAUCCCCAAAAGACCAUAAUGGCAAUGCCGAAGAACUUGUCCGCUCUUAUGAUCUUGUUGGUCGUCCCUGUUGCAUUGCUUCCUAAGGCUACCUUCGCCAAGGUAGGAAACCCUGAUUGCGGAAAGGGAAUAAGAUCUGAUUGUGGGUCUGGAUUAUUUCAAUUCAUUUUCCUUGCCGACACCUUUACACCCACCAACGAAUGCUGUCAUGAGCUCUUGAAAGCGGGGAAGAACUGCCACAACCAAUUUGUGGAGUUGAGCAUCUCGAGCCACAAGCCGAUUAAGGGGACAAAAUCUGAUGUCUAUAGGAGGAGCAAUGAGAAAUGGAACAAUUGCGUUGUGGCUCUCAGUCCCGUAUCCCCUCCCAAGCCGGCUCAUUGAGAGCUAUUCCCAUUUUAUAGUACAAUAAACGCGUAAUAUAAAAAGAAAGAAAGAAUUAUAAUUUUUGUAUUGAAUUCUCCUCAAAUUUUUUAUUUUAUUUUUGGUGCCACUUAAGCCUCAUGGUUAACUAUCACGGAAGCACAAUUGUGGAUGAAUCAUUUUUCAAUGUUUAAUGUGCUUAUUAAACUUGUAAUUUUUUAAAAUGACCUGCAAAAUAAAAUCAACCCCUAAAGUUGUUACUAGCUUUCGAGUCUACAAACAUAGUCCCAUACAAAACUAUAAAGAAACUAUCACUUUAUUUCUUAUGCUUUUAACAAUACCUUUUGAAACAAAUACCUAAGCGAUAAAAAGAUUAAUAGAUGGUUUAAUAAUCAUACAUUCAUCUCUAAUAAUCACAUGAAUACGUAGUUAAAGCUAGUCGAUCUAGCAUACUAUUAUAUAAAGUAAUGUAAAGAGGACUUCUUAGUUUAAAGGUUUUCUGACAAAUUAAAUCCACAAUAGUUGUUUUAUAUAACACUCUAUCAAUGGAUAAAUGUAUAAAUUAAUAAUCUUAUAUAAAUCUUACUUUGAAUCUUUUUAAUCUUGUAAGCAAUCAUAAAAAUAAAAAAUUCAAAUCUUGAAAUAUAUUUCUCUAUUUAUAUAUGUACGUAUCAAAUUGCUCCAUUAGUAAUUUCUUUCUUUCCAUUAAUUGAUAAUUCAAAUAGCCUAUGUUGGACGAUUUAGCAAAACCUUCAAAUGUUAACUAUAUGUUCAUUCAAGAAUGCGCGUACACUUUUGCUACUCAUAUACUAUGUAAACUUGACUUUUGAACAUUUAAUGAGGUUUUGUUGGUACCAAGAAUUUAGAAAUAUGUAUGGCCCAACAUCUUAUGUAAAAUGAGUUCUUAAUAAGUUUGACCCUGUUAUUAUGCAAGAGUAGGUUUAAUUUAAACAACCCAAACAUAAUGUAUGUUGCUUGGCGCGGAAGAUGACGAUGAAGAUUAUUAUUAUCAGCUUGGCCCCUCUUCAUUUAACGAAACCUAUUAAUUAUCACAAGUUUUAGUAAUUUUUAAUAAAGAGAAAAUAGUCCCACCCCAAUAACUAGUCCAAAGGUUAAAUGAUCAAUUAAUGAGUUCAGUAAAUCUGGAAAAGCAAAACCCAAAUCUUGUUAAAGGAUAAUUACCUAAUAAAAAAUUCGACCAAAAAAAUUUAGCUUUUAAAUAAUCUCAACUAAUCUAGAAAACCAAAGCCAAUUUUGGUUUAUAGAUAUAAAGGAAAAACAAGACUGGUAAGAAAUUUGUACAUAUAAACUUGGCUCCUUUUCAUUAAUUAAUGAGACCUAUUGAUUAUUUAACUUCUUUUUCCACAAGUUGUUGAAAAAUAAGUUAAUGAAGAAAAAAAUCACACUAAAAUAUCUCAGCAAUUAAUUAGGUAAUAAGUUUGCUAAAUAUAACAAACCAAAACCAAAUUAUUUGAUCAAUGGUUUAAUUUAUCUAUUGUUGAUACUUAAAUUUUGGCUUCAAGUGUAAUCAUUUGCAUAAAAAUUAGGUCUUAUUUCAUGAAAAACCCUUAAUGAGUACACUUGUGUCAACCUAAACAGGUACACUUGUGAUUGUUCAUGAUAUUAAUACAAUUUCAUAGAAACUAAUUGAGAGUAAAUUUAUCACAAAUGUAUCAGGUUCGGAUUUUUUGUAGUCAAAAAAUUAGUUUGGGAAAAUUUGUCAUAGGAAUACUAGUUUGGAAUUAUGGCGGUUAAAAAUUUAGUUUGAGAUAAAUUUGUCAUAGAUGUACUUGUUUGAUAAUUUUUGUGGCGUUAAUCCUAAAAAUUGGGGAUGGAUCCUAACCCGAAAUAAGAGGUAUUAUUAACAUAACGUGCAUUUGCAUUAUAGAUUUUUGAAUUUCUAAGAUUAAUUAUGCAUGAUGUGAAAUGAGGAUACAUGAGCAGAUUUGAAGAGGGAAAAUCAAGAAAGAGAUCGUGGCCAGCCAGGAGGAGAUUUGACGAUAUAUUUGACUGGAAAUCAUGACAAGAGAGGGUGAAAAUUCUAGGAUGUUGAAGGAAAUUUUUGCAAAAUAAAAGGGGGACAUCUUCUUCUUAGGGGAUGAUCAUGGCGUCUUGAAUUAGUUUGUGAAUUUGUUUGGUAAUCAUUUCGUUCCUAAAAAUAAUUAUUGUUUAAAAAAUUUUCUGUUAGUUUUUUUUUUUUUUUGCUUUAGUUCCUUGGACAAGUUUUUGAGGAUCCAUUUUAUUUCCGAAAUAGGAAAAGAACAUGAAUGCAAUUGCUACAACUCGCAAAUUUUUUUGUGACAUAAAAUUUUCUUUUAAUUUUUGAAUAAUUUUAUGAGCUUAUUUUUGUUGUUUUUUUUCCUUCUCUUCUUCUUCCUACUCUAGUCGUUAGCGGGCCUCCGCGAUAGCUGGCAAUCGGCUAGACGAGAGUUGGCAACCUCACCAGCCUUGAGGGAGCCUUGCCUAGCCAUCAGUGAGACCUGACCUCAUCUGGGCAACGUUGAGCCCUGCCCAGCCAAGGCCAGGUUGACCUCACCCAACCAGGACCAAAAGACCUCGUCGUGGGCCAUUGCCAAGCCUAGCAACCAACUGAAGGAGGAAGAGGAAGAAAAGAAAAGAGGGAGAAAGAAGAGAAAAUGACUUGAUUCUAGAAUUUUCCUCGGGAAUAGUGAAAUAACUUUUUUUCUACUUUUUUAUUCUAGUUUUAUUUUUGGGAACAUUGUUCCCUAUUGACAUUAGACCUAUUAAAUGGAUGGGUCAAGUAGGGUUUGGGUCAAGUCACAAAUGGUCCGACCCAAAUCAACGCAUUUAACCUGUUUAUGACCCAUUUAUCGUAGUGUAAAUCUUUUUACCCAUACCUGACCUGACCCAUUUAACUAAACAUAUGAAAGCUUAUUUCUUAUGAUUUUUUUUUUUAUAAAUGGUAUUGCUAAAAUACUUUUAUGCAAUUCAAAUUUAAUGGACAAUUUAUAAUUUUUUUAAAUUGACAUUUUAAAAAUCAAAUUUUUAAUUAAUUUUAAAAUAGAUUUUAAAAUUAUUUUUAUUUUUAAAAAAUUAAAAUUUUUAAUUAUUUGUAUUUUUUAAUAAUAUAAUUUUCCUUUUUCUCUUUUCUCUUUUCUCUUUCUUCUUCUUUAGCUGGUUGCCGGCCAUGACCACGGUCAACAACCUGCCAAAGGCGAGCCUCCAGCUCGCCCGAUCGUCGAGGCUUGAGCCUCGUUAGACGUCACCAAGGUUCGAGCCACACCGAUGUCAGGUGAGGUCGAGCCUUGCGGACAUUUGGCAAGGCCUUUGCUUCGCAAGAUUCGGCCAACUCGAGCCUUGACGACAUUUGGCGAGGCCUCUACCUCGCCAGAUGCAACUAGCUCAAGCUCGCCCAAUGCCAGUGAGCUUGAGUCUCACCUGGUUGGUAACCAACCAUCGUCGUGCCAGCCACUGGCUAAAGAAAAAGAAAGGAAAAAAAAAGGAAAGAAAAAAGAAAAGGAAAAAAAAGGACAGAAAAUUGAAAUAUAAAAAAUAAUUAUAAUUUCGAUUUUUAUAAAAGAUAUUUUUAUAAAGUUCAAGAGGGAAGAGAAAUAUUUUGAGGCUUUAGUUGAAAAUGGGUUCUAAGUCAAAUCAAUUUAACAGCCAUUUAUCUUAAAUCUUCAAUUUUUAAACCCAUUUAAUUGGUUUCUUUAAAAAAUAAGUGACCCAUACAUUACCCAUUUAUGAUGUAAAUGGAUCAUAUAUAUGGGUCGAAGAUCAAAUAGGGAGGCCUUGAACUUAGUUAUAUUUUUGGAUCAAGUAUUGGUCAAGCCCUCUGAUCUCAUAUUAUUAAAUAAUAUCUCAAGUUUGAGCGCGUGUGCUAAACCGGACUUGAAUUGAAUUAUUAAUCGGAGCCAUUUUUAGUGUUGAAGAAUCUUUAUUGUGGCAUUACUUAUUAAUCCUAAGAAGUCGUGUAGCGGACGACUGCUCAGAACACACAAAAGAAAGCAAAUGGGACCCAGGAUAAUUAGAGUAAAAAAAAAAAAGUACAAAGAAGAAUUUUGUGUUUUUGAGUUAUUUUCCCUAGUUGCACAUCUCAUGAAAAAGCCGCCAAAGGUUUUUUUUUUUUUUUUGAUCUAAUACGGUAGUAUAUUGCUAACGGAAAAGGCGGCUUGCUCAAAACAAAGUUGCACAGAGAAAUAGGGUCGCAUAGUGACGUCCAAAAGGGCAUGUUUAUUUUUACUAUAAAUAGUGUCUGAUUCUACCAAUUUAGGCUCGUAAUGCCUAAUUGGAAGCCGAUAUGGGUCAGGAAAAUUCUCAAGAUGCAUUCAAUAAAUAUUAACACAUCUCUACUUGCUAAUUGCACAAUCAAAUUACCUAACAUGCAUCACAAUUAUCUAAUAAUCACUAAUCUACUCUAAUCUAAUCACCUAAUUGCACUUAAUUAAAUCUAAUCAAUCCCUAAGCAUAAUUAGCAAAUUAAUAAGGCAUUAGUGAGCAAAACUCACUUGGCAAAGCGAAGACCGGAACACCGCAAUGACGACGUGAUGGCGGCCAAAAUAUAAACUUUCGGCAGCAUCGGCAGAUACUCAGGCCAGGCCUACAAGCCUCGCAAGCCCACAGAAAAUCACUAGGCUUGGACUUGGGCUUGGGCUGCUUUGUAGGCUUCAAAGAGUUGGGCCGAACAGCUGCUGUGGAAAUGAGCUUCACUGGAUUUGAUGGGUUGAAGAAAGGACCAGACUGGGCUGUUCAAGAAUAACAUGGGCUGCUGAACCGGGCCCAAAACUAGGCUGAACCAAGGCUGAAAACAGGCCCAGCUGUUGGGCCAAAAUUGCUGGAUUCCGUGGGCUGAAAUUGUUGGCUCGUAGACUAGAAUUGCUGGGCUUCACUUGCCGAAAAUGGGCUGAGCUGAUGGAGGUGGGCUCAAACUUGUUGGGCCGCUGAAACACCGAACUAGCUUACUGCGACAGAGACGUGAAGCUCGCUGGAUUUCUGUUUGCUUCAGUUGACGGUGAUGCUGCUCCGCUUGGUGGAUCGUUGGACGUGGCUGAUAAAUCCGGUGGACGUUGAGGAUGCUGCAGUGUUGACCAAUGGAUGGAGAUCCCAGUGGACUUGCUUCAGUGAGUGAAGCUGAAGGAGAUGGUGAAGACGCGUGGAUUGGUGAAGCAGAAGGAAAUCAGUUGCUGGCGUCUUCAAUUGAGGGUUUCGUCAAGGGGGUUUUGACCGAGAGUGGAGAUGGCUGACGGCGGCUUCGCGGCCGAGACAUGUUGACAGAGUGGGAUAUGAGGACGAGCUGCAAAGAAGAAGCAGCUUCGGUGCUGCUACUACUGGUGUCUUCGAUGGAGAAUGGACGGAGAACAAGAGCUGCGGGGAAAUUGAAGAAGGAGAGAGAGAUCGUGGGGUGCUGAGGUCUUCCACCGGAUGAAGGAAAAAGUAGAAAUUAAAAGAAAUGGGCUGGGGGCAUCAGUACGUGAAGAUAAGAG
Molecule: long non-coding RNA, 6038 nt
Filed under: Eucalyptus grandis
Lineage: Eukaryota; Viridiplantae; Streptophyta; Magnoliopsida; Myrtales; Myrtaceae
Description: long non-coding RNA (EGRA_LNC000512)
Source: RNAcentral